AGGGAAGACAGAACGAGCACAGGGUGGAUGCCUCGGCGCUGCGUGCCGAUGAAGGACGUGGCUACGCUGCGAUAAGCAUGGGGGAGGUGCGAGCAACCUGCGAUCCCAUGAUGUCCGAAUGGGGCAACCCGACUGCUUCGGCAGUCACCGCGCGAGCGGAGGGCACCGGGGGAACUGAACCAUCUCACGUACCCCGAGGAGAAGAAAGUAUUCCCGUAGUAGUGGCGAGCGAACCGGGAUGAGCCUAAACCGAUGGCGUGCCAAGGCGGCAGCCGUUGCGUCAUCGGGGUUGAAAGGCAUCACAGGGCGUGCUGCUGCGCGCCACAGCCGGACUGCACGAUACACGAAGUCGCCUGGAACGCGACGCCGGAGAGUGUGAGAGCCACGUAGUGGACAUCGUGACAGCGACUGGGUGAUGUUCUUGAGUAGCGCCGAACACGAGCAAUUCGGCGUGAAGCGAGGGAGCCCACUCCCUAAGGCUAGGUACACGCAGCGACCGAUAGUGCACAGUACCGUGAGGGAACGGUGAAAAGAACCCCGGCGAGGGGAGUGAAACAGAACCUGAAACCGUGUGCUUACAUGCAGUCGAAGGGCGAGGUCGCAAGACCGCCUGACGGCGUGCCUUUUGGAGUAUGAUCCGGCGAGUUACCUUCAGUGGCAGGUUAAGGCAGUGACAGCUGGAGCCAGAGCGAAAGCGAGUCUGAAGAGGGCGCGCGUCGCUGGAGGUAGACCCGAAACCGCUUGAGCUACCCAUGAGCAGGGUGAAGCGCCUGUAACAGGGCGUGGAGGCCCGAACCGGUGUGGAUUGCAAACCGCUCGGAUGACUUGUGGGUAGGGGUGAAAUGCCAAUCGAAAGCGGAGAUAGCUGGUUCUCCCCGAAAUGCAUUGAGGUGCAGCCCGGCGGAGCGACUGUGUGAGGUAGAGCACUGAUGUUGUGCGGGGGCUUCACCGCCUACCAAUCGACGUCAAACUCCGAAUGCGCACAGCCGGCAGCCGGAGUGAGACAGUGGGCGCAAACGUUCAUUGUCAAAAGGGAAACAACCCAGACCUGCAGCUAAGGCCCCCAAAUCAAUGCUGAGUGGCAAAGGAUGUGUCGUUGCCGAGACAACCAGGAGGUUGGCUUAGAAGCAGCCACCCUUGAAAGAGUGCGUAACAGCUCACUGGUCGAGUGACGAUGCGCCGAUAAUCCAACGGGGCAAAGCAUUGUGCCGAAGCUCAGGAUGCGGAAACGCAUGGUAGGGGAGCGUCGUGCAUGCAGUGAAGCGGCAGCGGAAGCCAGCCGUGGAGCGUGCACGAGUGCGAAUGCCGGAACGAGUAACAGAGAAGUGGAGUGCGAACCUCCACCACCGGAAGCCUGAGGGUUCCGCCGCAAGGAUGAUCCGCGGUGGGUUAGUCGGGCCUAAGGGUAAGGCGCGAGCCGAACCGAUGGACAACAGGUUGAUAUUCCUGUACCACAGUACGACCGUUUGACCAAUGCAGGACGCGGCAGGAUAGGUUCCGCGGCAAGACGAGUGCCGUCCAAGCUGGUAGGGAGUGUCGCGCUAAUCCGCGAUGCGAUGACCGAGAGGCGAGUGCGAGGGGGCGUAGCAAUACCUCCCCGAGGGAACUGACUCUGUACCGUCGAGAAAUGCCUGCUCGGGAGGGCGUACGGUGACCGUACCGCAAACCGACACAGGUAGGCUGGCUGAGCAAGCUAAGGUGGACGAGUGAUCCCUGGUUAAGGAACUCGGCAAUUUGACCCCGUACCUUCGGUAGAAGGGGUGCUCUGGAAGGUGAAGGUCCUGGCGACCGGAGCGUUCUGGAGCCGCAGCAAAGAGGCCCAGGCGACUGGAUAACAGAACCACAGGUCCCUGCUCAAGCCGUAAGGCGAUGUAUAGGGGCUGAUGCCUGCCCAGUGCCGGAAGGUUAAGGGGAGAGGUGCAAGCCUUGAACCGAAGCCCCGGUGAACGGCGGCCGUAACUAUAACGGUCCUAAGGUAGCGAAAUUCCUUGUCGGGUAAGUUCCGACCCGCACGAAAGGCAUCACGAUCUGGGCAGUGUCUCGACCAGGGGCUCGGUGAAACUGCGAUGGCGGUUAGGACGCCGCCAACCCGUAGCAGGACAAAAAGACCCCGUGGAGCUUUACUACAGCUUGUCAUUGUGCGUGCUCAUCAUCUGCGUAGCAUAGGUGGGAGCCGGAGAACCAUUCCUCGCGGGGAGUGGGGAGGCAGCAGUGAAAUACCACUCUGGUGAUGCGCGCGCACUCACCCGCAGACGCGGGGACCGUGACUGGUGGGUAGUUUGUCUGGGGCGGACGCCUCCCAAACAGUAACGGAGGCGCGCAAUGGUACCCUCAGGCGGGAUGGUAACCCGCCGGUGCGUGUAAAGGCAAAAGGGUGCUUGACUGCAAGGCAAACAGGCCGCGCAGGGCCGAAAGGCGGCCUUAGUGAUCCUACGGCGCCGCGUGGAAGGGCCGUAGCUUAUCGGAUAAAAGCUACCCCGGGGAUAACAGGCUGAUCCUGCCCAAGAGUUCACAUCGACGGCAGGGUUUGGCACCUCGAUGUCGGCUCGUCGCAUCCUGGGGCUGGAGUCGGUCCCAAGGGUUGGGCUGUUCGCCCAUUAAAGCGGCACGCGAGCUGGGUUCAGAACGUCGUGAGACAGUUCGGUCUCUAUCCGCUACGGGCGUUUAGUGUGUUGCGGGGAGCUGAUCUUAGUACGAGAGGACCGGAUUGGACGGCCCGCUGGUGGAGGAGUUGUGGGACGACCCGCAGGCUCCGUAGCUAUGGCCGGAAGCAAGAACCGCUGAAAGCAUCUAAGUGGGAAAUGCACCCCAAGAUGAGCACACUCACAGCAUCAGGCUGGUAAGUCCCCCAGGAGAUAACUGGGCGAGCGGCGCAAGCUGGACGCAUGGCGACAUGUGGAGGCGACGCGUGCGCAUGGACGAGGGCUUCCCUGA
This 2934-nucleotide ribosomal RNA is filed under the name Chloroflexota bacterium. RNAcentral describes it as "Chloroflexi bacterium (mine drainage metagenome) 23S ribosomal RNA". It matches the Rfam family "Bacterial large subunit ribosomal RNA". The record is from RNAcentral. Lineage: Bacteria; Bacillati; Chloroflexota.